AAUUUUAACCUUUUUAAAGCAGCAGGCCAAAUCAUAUACACAAAUACAUUUUUCAUUAAAAAAAAAUUUGAUUGAGUGUAUUAGACUUCUUUCUUUUGAGAUUUUUUAUAAAUAAGUUUUUCUGAAUAACAACACUAAAGUACUGCAUAAUCCUCUAAAUUGAAAUCUGAAGUAACUGGAUGUUGGAGGAGAUCCCCCCAGAGCUGGCCAUGCUGCUAUGACUUAGACGGCACAGGCCUGUGGUUGGGACCAUGAAGCCGCAAAGCCUCCCUGAAACCAGGAGGCUCCCAGCUGGUGCUCACGCCCAGCUGCGUGCCUCGCACCGGCCUGCAGCCUCCCGCAGGGCCACCUCCUCCCCGUGUGGCUACCUUCCUGUUACUGUACAGUUCUGCUGGAGUGGUCCUGUCAGAUUUGCAUCUCUCAUUAGAUGUGUCAAUUGUUGUCAGGAAACAGACUGGUUAUAAAGAAAUAUAAAUUUAAGGCAAACCCUUUGUGGCUUUUUUCUUAUUUUAUUGAUCUAAACAGGGCAUUCUUUCAUUAUUGUUUGAGAAAACAAACAAACAAAAAAAGAACGGUACUCAUAAGAGGUUGACACACUAAUAAAAGAGCAAUUACUGUUUUCCCCUCACUCUUUCUAGAGAAGCACAGUUAUCUGCGACUUCC
Molecule: long non-coding RNA, 663 nt
Filed under: Bos taurus (domestic cattle)
Lineage: Eukaryota; Metazoa; Chordata; Mammalia; Artiodactyla; Bovidae
Description: long non-coding RNA NONBTAT013444
Source: RNAcentral